CCCGACUCCUACGGGAGGCAGCAGUGCGGAAUAUUGGUCACUGGUCGGGAGCCUGCCCCAGCCAAGCCGCUUGAGGGAGUACGGUACAGAGUAUCUUCCCCCUCUUUUGUCCUUGAACAAAGGCGGGGACGUGUCCCCUUCUGAGUGUACCUGCCUAAAAAGCCUCUGCUAACUCCGUUCCCUCAGCCGCGUGCCUACGGAGGAUUCGCUCUUUAUCCGGAUUUAUUGGGUUUAAAGGGUGCGUAGGCGGAGGUUCAAGUCAGAGGGAAAAUUUCGGGGAGCAACCCCGUCGUGCCGUUGAAACUGACGCCCUUGAGUGAGUGAGAAGGAAGCGGAAUGCGUGGUGUAGCGGUGAAAUGCAUAGAGAUCACGCAGAACGCCGAUUGCGAAGGCAGCUGACCGGCGCUCAACUGACGCUGAGGCACGAAAGUGCGGGUAGCGAACAGGAUUAGAUACCCGCGUAC
This 464-nucleotide ribosomal RNA is filed under the name uncultured bacterium. RNAcentral's name for it is "bacterial SSU rRNA". It matches the Rfam family "Bacterial small subunit ribosomal RNA", at positions 331 to 793 of the family's 1533-position model. The record is from RNAcentral.